Molecule: long non-coding RNA, 1699 nt
Filed under: Hordeum vulgare
Lineage: Eukaryota; Viridiplantae; Streptophyta; Magnoliopsida; Poales; Poaceae
Description: long non-coding RNA (HVUL_LNC017539)
Source: RNAcentral
UUGAUUUCUAUUGCUUUGUUUGAUCCUUUGUUUCUACAAAGGGAUACAUAAGUAUAUAUAGGAGCAAAACUGACCUACAUCUAUACGUACUCGGUUACUGCUCCUAGUCCGAUCCGGACAGGACUACUUGAUCGUGGUUAAUUCCAACACUUUGGAGGUGUGGCCUCUGACAGCGAUUGCUAAUGUUACGUGGAUACAUGGCCGUACCAGGUCUCUGUCGCUGCCAUGCAUUUCUGUUCUGGCCUCUUCAGUAGCUUAACCACACUAUGCACAGGAAGCGACUGUUGGUCAUUCUCAUUCUCAGAUUAUUGGCCAUGAGGUCACAAAGAGCGGUGAGCAGAAGUCAAAAGCAGAAACAUAGCAGCCUGGACCGUAGGCUAUCUCGUAACAGCAAUGGUCAGUCAAGGAAAAGUUUCUGAACGCUCUUGAGCACACAACCAAUUCCCUACAAGUCUCAAUCCCAUGACUUGCUAUUUGGAUCCGGCCCAUGAUCCCAUCCAAUUUGUUUUGUCUCUCUUCCUCCGACUCUUCAACUUCGCAACAGAUGUAGGUGGUAGCUGAGGUAUAAUGUUUGCUCUAUGUUACUGCGUCUACCUUUUAUAACAUGUUUGGCUAGGUGUACAUGUAGGUAGUUUAUGAAGGCUCUGGUGCUAGGCAGUACGUUUACCACAGUGUUACAAAGCUGCUAGUCCAUCUUCUUGUCAGACCAAAAUAAAAUUCGCACUUUGACAGGUUUCAAUAAUUCCUCUAUAAAUCUCAAGAUGUCUUGUUGCAUUAGAAUAAGAUCUCUGCGCCUGAUAUACAUCCUGUCAUGGAUAAUACUGCGACCAAAUUGCAACGAUGACAUGGAAAAUUGGACACCAACGAUGGUCGGUUCAUGUUUUGUCAACGUGGUCCUCUCGUCCCAUAAUUCUUGUCUUUGUUUUAGUUUAAAUUUAAACUGAAACAAUGAUAAGAAUCAUGGGACGGAGGGAGUAUAUGUUAACGGUAAUCCGUUUGAGCACCUCGGUAAUUAAGGAGAACGAUUACAGCCUUAUAAGAAUUUCCUCUAUAAAAUAUACCAUAGAGAUAAAUUGGACGGAGUUUGCAUGUUUGUCAGUUGGAAUCAGGUUCGUGGAGUAGAUUGAGGGUCAUCGACCUUAAAAAGUGAUACAUAAUUCAAUAAACAGACAAAAGACGUUCCAGGAUCGGCAGUAUAGAGGAUGCCUAUUUUUCUAUGAUACAGCAAUUUAUAUUGGUUGGCAACAUGGCAUGUUCCUAUAUAUGCCUCAAGGUCGCUCAAAUGACCAAAAACACCGAGGGACAUUGUCAUGAGCUCUGCCAUCUUUGUGGCUAACUCACUGAAGCCCAAAGGCACUUGAUGUUGCCCUACGCAAGGGGGUGUGGCAGCUAAUUGUAGACUAGGUGGAGAAAUUUGGUUGCUACUCAAAUCUCAGCACGCGAUACUUGUUGAAGUACAUACCCUGCCUUCCUUAUCUAGAAAAGCUAACAAUUUAAAUAUACUGAGCAGAUUUGGUCGAGAAAAAUAGAGUGUUUGACCAAAAGGUAUUCAAUAGCAUGAUUCUGCCAUGUCAUUUGUAAAUAUUGUGUUCAUUUACCUUUUGAUCGAAAUAUAAUAGUGAUAAUGGGCAUGUCAUGUGCAUGACUAAUUUUUGUAAGUUUCCAUGUUACUUGUAGUGCCCCUUCUCUCGCGUCGUAG